Molecule: non-coding RNA, 336 nt
Organism: Drosophila melanogaster (fruit fly)
Lineage: Eukaryota; Metazoa; Arthropoda; Insecta; Diptera; Drosophilidae
Source: Ensembl
UAAAGAUUCUUUGCAGCUACGAAAAUACUCACAAAUAUUUUUCGUAAACAAAAAAUUCUCGUUUGGCAACCAAAUAUGUGCCAAAACAACAUCAAAAGCGGCACAAUUAAAGCCAAUGCAACGCUCCACAUAAUUAUAUUAACCAACUCAGAAAAGGGAAAACAAUGGAAAUAUUAAAGAAAAGGAGUGGAAUGAACGGCAGAUGGUUACACAUUAAUUUAUAAUUAUUUGGGCUUCCACCAAAGGGUUAAUCAGAACAAGUGCCACUUUGUUGAAAGCGCAGACGAACAAAUUGAGAAAAAAAUGGAUAUUGAACGUUAUUGUGUAUACCCUUUC